This 445-nucleotide ribosomal RNA is filed under the name uncultured bacterium. RNAcentral describes it as "partial 16S ribosomal RNA". It matches the Rfam family "Bacterial small subunit ribosomal RNA", at positions 354 to 796 of the family's 1533-position model. The record is from RNAcentral.
GUGAGGAAUAUUGGUCAAUGGGCGAGAGCCUGAACCAGCCAAGUCGCGUGAAGGAUGAAGGUUUUAUGAAUUGUAAACUUCUUUUGCAGGGGAAUAAAGUACGGUACGUGUACCGUUUUGUAUGUACUCUGCGAAUAAGGAUCGGCUAACUCCGUGCCAGCAGCCGCGGUAAUACGGAGGAUCCAAGCGUUAUCCGGAUUUAUUGGGUUUAAAGGGUGCGUAGGUGGUUUGAUAAGUCAGCGGUGAAAGUUUGCAGCUUAACUGUAAAAAUGCCGUUGAAACUGUCGGACUUGAGUGUAAAUGAGGUAGGCGGAAUGCGUGGUCUAGCGAUGAAAUGCAUAGAUAUCACGCAGAACUCCGAUUGCGAAGGCAGCUUACUAAGCUACAACUGACACUGAAGCACGAAAGCGUGGGGAUCAAACAGGAUUAGAACCCCUGGUAGUCC